RNAcentral lists this ribosomal RNA (255 nucleotides) under uncultured bacterium. Its description in RNAcentral is "partial 16S ribosomal RNA". It matches the Rfam family "Bacterial small subunit ribosomal RNA", at positions 333 to 584 of the family's 1533-position model. The record is from RNAcentral.
UCCGGCCUACGGGGCGCAGCAGUGAGGAAUAUUGGUCAAUGGGCGGGAGCCUGAACCAGCCAAGUCGCGUGAGGGAAGACGGUCCUAUGGAUUGUAAACCUCUUUAGGCGGGGAGCAAUGCCGGGCACGUGUGCCCGGAGGGAGAGUACCCGCAGAAUAAGCAUCGGCUAACUCCGUGCCAGCAGCCGCGGUAAUACGGAGGAUGCGAGCGUUAUCAGGAAUUAUUGGGUUUAAAGGGUGCGUAGGCGGAUUUUU